RNAcentral lists this ribosomal RNA (387 nucleotides) under uncultured bacterium. RNAcentral's name for it is "bacterial SSU rRNA". It matches the Rfam family "Bacterial small subunit ribosomal RNA", at positions 28 to 417 of the family's 1533-position model. The record is from RNAcentral.
GACGAACGCUGGCGGCGUGCUUAACACAUGCAAGUCGAGCGGUAAGGCCCUUUCGGGGGUACACGAGCGGCGAACGGGUGAGUAACACGUGGGUGACCUGCCCUUAGCUCUGGGAUAAGCCUGGGAAACUGGGUCUAAUACCGGAUAUGACUCCAUGACGCAUGUUGUGGGGUGGAAAGCCUUGUGCGGCUAGGGAUGGGCCCGCGGCCUAUCAGCUUGUUGGUGGGGUGAUGGCCUACCAAGGCGACGACGGGUAGCCGGCCUGAGAGGGCGACCGGCCACACUGGGACUGAGACACGGCCCAGACUCCUACGGGAGGCAGCAGUGGGGAAUCUUGCGCAAUGGGCGAAAGCCUGACGCAGCGACGCCGCGUGGGGAUGACGACCU